UACAGAGGUCUCAAGCGUUGUUCGGAUUCAUUGGGCGUAAAGGGUGCGUAGGUGGCGCCGUAAGUCGGGUGUGAAAUUUCGGAGCUUAACUCCGAGACUGCAUUCGAUACUGCGGUGCCUGAGGACUGGAGAGGAGACUGGAAUUCAUGGUGUAGCAGUGAAAUGCGUAGAGAUCAUGAGGAAGACCAGUGGCGAAGGCGGGUCUCUGGACAGUUCCUGACACUGAGGCACGAAGGCCAGGGGAGCAAACGGG
RNAcentral lists this ribosomal RNA (253 nucleotides) under uncultured bacterium. RNAcentral's name for it is "partial 16S ribosomal RNA". It matches the Rfam family "Bacterial small subunit ribosomal RNA", at positions 524 to 776 of the family's 1533-position model. The record is from RNAcentral.